GUUUCUUCGGGGGCAUCCAAUAAAAUUGGAGCGAUACAGAGAAGAUUAGCAUGACCUCUGCGCAAGGAUGACGCGCACAAAAAAAUACAUGUUACAAGUGUGU
This 103-nucleotide small nuclear RNA is filed under the name Trifolium pratense (red clover). Lineage: Eukaryota; Viridiplantae; Streptophyta; Magnoliopsida; Fabales; Fabaceae. The record is from RNAcentral.